RNAcentral lists this ribosomal RNA (699 nucleotides) under uncultured Bacteroidales bacterium. Its description in RNAcentral is "bacterial SSU rRNA". It matches the Rfam family "Bacterial small subunit ribosomal RNA", at positions 43 to 732 of the family's 1533-position model. The record is from RNAcentral. Lineage: Bacteria; Pseudomonadati; Bacteroidota; Bacteroidia; Bacteroidales.
CAGGCUUAACACAUGCAAGUCGAGGGGCAUCAGUUUGGUUUGCUUGCAACCAAAGCUGGCGACCGGCGCACGGGUGAGUAACACGUAUCCAACCUGCCUCAUACUCGGGGAUAGCCUUUCGAAAGAAAGAUUAAUAUCCGAUAGCAUAUAUUUCCCGCAUGGGUUUUAUAUUAAAGAAAUUCGGUAUGAGAUGGGGAUGCGUUCCAUUAGUUUGUUGGGGGGGUAACGGCCCACCAAGACUACGAUGGAUAGGGGUUCUGAGAGGAAGGUCCCCCACAUUGGAACUGAGACACGGUCCAAACUCCUACGGGAGGCAGCAGUGAGGAAUAUUGGUCAAUGGACGCGAGUCUGAACCAGCCAAGUAGCGUGAAGGAUGACUGCCCUAUGGGUUGUAAACUUCUUUUAUAUGGGAAUAAAGUUGUCCACGUGUGGAUUUUUGUAUGUACCAUAUGAAUAAGGAUCGGCUAACUCCGUGCCAGCAGCCGCGGUAAUACGGAGGAUCCGAGCGUUAUCCGGAUUUAUUGGGUUUAAAGGGAGCGUAGGCGGAUUGUUAAGUCAGUUGUGAAAGUUUGCGGCUCAACCGUAAAAUUGCAGUUGAUACUGGCAGUCUUGAGUGCAGUAGAGGUGGGCGGAAUUCGUGGUGUAGCGGUGAAAUGCUUAGAUAUCACGAAGACUCCGAUUGCGAAGGCAGCUCACUGG